Molecule: ribosomal RNA, 465 nt
Filed under: uncultured bacterium
Lineage: Bacteria
Description: partial 16S ribosomal RNA
Rfam family: Bacterial small subunit ribosomal RNA
Source: RNAcentral
AAUGAACGUUGGCGGCGUGGAUUAGGCAUGCAAGUCGAGCGAGAACCCCGCAAGGGGGGACAGCGGCGAAAGGGACAGUAAUGUGUAGAUUAUCUGCCCUCAGGUCCGGGAUAGCUGCGGGAAACUGCAGGUAAUACCGGAUAACAUCUCCGGAUCAAAGGUGUGAUUCCGCCUGAGGAUGAGUCUGCAUCCUAUUAGCUAGUUGGUGGGGUAAUGGCCUACCAAGGCAUUGAUGGGUAGCAGGUGUGAGAGCACGACCUGCGUCAUUGGGACUGAGACACUGCCCAGACACCUACGGGUGGCUGCAGUCGAGAAUCUUCGGCAAUGGGCGCAAGCCUGACCGAGCGACGCCGCGUGUGGGAUGAAGGCCGUCGGGUUGUAAACCACUGUCAGAGGGGAUGAAAUGCAGGUGGGUUCUCCCAUCUGUUUGACAUAGCCUCAGAGGAAGGACGGGCUAAGUUCGUG